UACGUAGGGUGCGAGCGUUAAUCGGAAUUACUGGGCGUAAAGCGUGCGCAGGCGGUUCGUUGUGUCGGUGGUGAAAUCCCCGGGCUCAACCUGGGAACUGCCUUUGUGACUGCAAGGCUUGAGUGCGGCAGAGGGGGAUGGAAUUCCGCGUGUAGCAGUGAAAUGCGUAGAUAUGCGGAGGAACACCGAUGGCGAAGGCAAUCCCCUGGGCCUGCACUGACGCUCAUGCACGAAAGCGUGGGGAGCAAACAGG
This 253-nucleotide ribosomal RNA is filed under the name uncultured bacterium. Its description in RNAcentral is "partial 16S ribosomal RNA". It matches the Rfam family "Bacterial small subunit ribosomal RNA", at positions 524 to 776 of the family's 1533-position model. The record is from RNAcentral.